GAAAACACAGAUCCUGGUGCCGAACAUGAGGACAGGACAGGCUGAAGGAGAAAGUGGAAGGAGGGGAGCUUCUCUCUCAGCCUCAUCCUCCUGGGCCUGGAUGCUGGAGAGUCAUGAGGUGCUUCAGAGUACUCUGGGUGAGGAGGGAAAGAUGGUGCCCACCACAUGGAGGCCAGCCUAGGUCUUGUAUGAAACCCGUGAGCAGGAGCCAGGCCGUGGCCUGCUGACUGCAUCUGCCAGAUGACUACCAAUGUGAGAUUCUCUCUCCCUUGCUGUCUUUGAAAAAGCAAGUUGCCAUGUGAAGAGGGCCAUAUAGCAUAGGAGCUGAAGGCAGCCUCCAACUGACGGCAAGAAAAUGAGGUCCUCAAUCUGACAACCUGCAAGAAACUGAAUGUUCUAAAAGCCACAUGAGCUUGGGAGCAGAUCUGACCCCAGCCAAAUCUCUGAAGUCCACAGGCAGGAAAUGAAGAUCAGAAAAAGGCUAUUGUCUCAUGAAUAUGAGUCAGACUCCACAGAAGCUGGAGUCCUUCAUUAUGGAGCUAAACACAUACACCUGGCUUAGGAGUCAGAAAAACUGAAAGAGAAUUCAGGGAAGUAGAGAAAUUGCAAGCCCAGAUGCUGCUUCAUACCAAAGAAGCAAGUCAGCAGAUCAGCAACAAUGUGUAUCAGUUCCAAAAUGACUUACACAGGUACCAAGACAAGACAUUAUAUAC
This 713-nucleotide non-coding RNA is filed under the name Pan troglodytes (chimpanzee). Lineage: Eukaryota; Metazoa; Chordata; Mammalia; Primates; Hominidae. The record is from RNAcentral.